This 9067-nucleotide long non-coding RNA is filed under the name Coffea arabica (coffee). RNAcentral's name for it is "long non-coding RNA (CARA_LNC000475)". Lineage: Eukaryota; Viridiplantae; Streptophyta; Magnoliopsida; Gentianales; Rubiaceae. The record is from RNAcentral.
AUAACACAAGUUUUUCUUCCCCACGCUUAAAAUACACAUUGUUCUCAAUGUGUAAAGAAAGAAAAACAAUAAAAGAUAGAAAGAAAUACUCCCCAAUACAAUCGCUAAGAUCCAGAUCAACCAUGACACACCAAUCUUCACAAAACACUUAAACAAUGACUAAAACUACCAAAAUCAAAGUCAAAAGAAAAAGUUAAUGUCACCUUACAUAACAAAAGAAAAGAAAAGCUAAAAGAAUAUAGAAGCAAAGCAAAAUGGUAGCUCAAAAUACUGGCCCAACACCUCUCUCACUAGCACCAACAGAUCCUCAACCAUCACCACUAGUUCCAGAAGUAGUGCGAGGUAGAGGAGUGAUGCCUAAAUGAUUCUACAUACGACAUAUCGAACAUCAUAGAUAUACAGGUGAGUAUCGAUCCAAUCAAGCCGUUCAAUGAGUUGAGUCGAUGGCAGCCUAGAAUGUUAAAAGGCACUGCAAGUUGGAACACGGUGGAGAGGGAGAUGGUGGUGGGGCAAAAGUAGACGACCUGGCAGAAGUGGAGGGACCGGCUUCACUUUACUCAGUGUGACCAGCUCGUCAUGAUCUCUCUCUCUAUGGGUGAGGGAAAUUAUCUGUAAGAAUGCCCAUGCCAGUAAGAAUAGCAACAUUUAACUCCUCCAUUGGUCACACCAAAACUCAUGAGAUGCCCUCUAUAUUUACGUCUUCCCGCUUGAAAAUUAAGGAUAGAAGACGUGGAAACUCCAUUUGAUAGGAAGUCCUACUCCUUCGAGUGGUCGUCCUUAUGUUACUAAUGAUUAUAUUUGGAAGUGGGAUGCGAGCAUAAAGAGAAUUCUGAUUAUGGAACAUGUGAUCCAAGAAGUAGAUAUCGCUAUGUCGAACCUCCCAUUGGCCACUCUUCUUGCAAAUCACAUUAUGCGCCAUGACAUAGAUAAUAAGGCGGUGUCAAUAGUCGAACAAGCGCACAAGAAUGGCCUUUUUCCUAGAUGAAUAAAAUGGUUGGUAUUAUCGACCAAACCUCGUCAUAGCAUGUUGACGGGAUUUUAAUAUACGUACAAGUUAAAAAAUCUGAAAUACACCCAUUUCAAUGCAAGUAUACAUGUCAACUAGUAGUUUAGGGUAUAUAUCGGGUCGAUCCCACGAGGAAGACUGAACAAUUACCUGUGUUACUAAAGCUUCUCUAUUAUUUAGACUAUCAAUGAAUUAUAAGAAAUAAAACCUACUAAACUUAUGUAAAAUAACAAAUGAAAGCUCCUUAGGUUAUGGUAUCCCUAACUACUCAUGCAAGUGCUAUAUUUGGAUCAUUGAGUACUACUAUCUAGGCUAGUUAUGGUGUAAUUUCCUUAUACAUAUGAGUCCUACUUUCGUAGCGAAUCAAUUAUACUCAUAACUAAUCCAUACCUAUUCUCAUGGUUAUGAAAUUAGCUACAAGUUCAUUUCUUCAAUGAAAUUACAUGAAAUUAAUCACUAAAACCACAUAGGUGCACCUCUACUCUCGUGAGUGUACUCCUUAUGUUUAGCACUUCUUGAACCAGUGUUUAAAUCUCAAUUUUCAUUGCAGAAACAACACCUUAGAUAAUCACAAUCAAUGGUACCAGAUUAAUCAUGAUUUAGAGAUCUAAAGUGCUAAAUAACUUGGUCAAGUAAUAGCAUCAAAUAGCCAAAUAAUAAACUCUAACAAUCAUAGAAAGUUCAACCAAACCCAAGGCAUAAACUUUAAAGACACAUAAAUAACAUAAAAUCCAGAACUUGUAUAUUAACUAAACUUGGAAUCAAGUACAAAAGAUAAAGAGUUGGAGAAAAGAUAACCGAUGUCACUUGAGCUUCAACUCCUCUUUCUUCAUCUCCAUCUUCAUCCUAAUUUAGCUAAUAUACAAGAAGGAUGAACUAACUAGCUAAACUAUCCUACACUAAGGAAAUGGAAGAACUACAUUUCUGCAGAAUCCAAGUUUCUCCCGUAUGAUGUCUGACCUCUAUUUUCUCUCUGCCUAUAAACUGAUCCCUUUUCCACCGUUACAUCUCCUUUUGAUUGAUUCUCAAAUCUUCAUUUUGUUAAGAAAGUCAAAAACAAUGGUUUUUGACUUGGAACUUUGGCUAUACCUCUUCCUUUUUGUCUUCUGAAGCACGUGCAGCCGAAUUCCCUUCCCAAAAAUAACUGGAAAGUGGUGUGAACAUAAGAGAAAUGGCUGAGUAAAUUGCAGAAUUUUGACUACAAAAUGCGACUUGACAAAAUGCGGCUUCAGGCCACGUUUUGUUGACUCGCGUUUUCAACUCUGUGCUUUUGGCCUCACUUCAGCUGCAAUUUUCUCUAUGAUAGAGACCGAACUAGCUUUUGUGUAAAACACAAAAGUUGUAGCCCUUUUAAUUACCUUUACAAUGAUCCAAAAAUCAUUCAAAUUGGCGUUUUGUAGACUGAGAUAUGAUCGAAAUACUAUCACCUGGUCAAACCCCUGUUUUCAACUUUGGACAGCAGUGUUGAAUUCUUGUAUUUCGACCUUUUGAUUAAGAAAAUGGCUGAAUUGAAUUAUGAUGCCUUCAUGCCAAAUUUAGAUCUAUCUCUUAGCUUCAAAAUGGUAUAAAUAUUACCUCAAUCCAAUAUGUGUAGCUCCAAAUAUAGUCGAAAUACAAAAAUGUGUCAAAGUUGUUUUCACUUGCAUUUCUUCAAUUCACUUCAUUUUUUCUUUAUCACUUAAAUUCAUCACCAAUUAUCUACUUUUCUCCUCAAUUGACAUCCUUUGGUGAUUGAAUCAUUAAUCCUGCAUGAAAAUGAAGUUUUAACCAUUAAAAUCAAUAGAAAUGCAAUGUUAGCCACUUUAACAUAAAAUGUAGAUUUUUACCAAAAUCUUAGUUAUUUUAGUUAUAAAACUAAAUAAUCAAACCAAAACUAACUAAUAAAAUGUACUUAAAAAUAUGUAAAAUAAACCCUUAUCACAUGUGAAGGGUCUCAAUGCUUGUUUGACGAAGUAAAUCCCUUCUUUAAAUCAAUGACUGAUCCUUGAUUAUUGCACUCUAGAAUUCGAGCAAUUGUGACUAGUGAUGAUCAAUUGUCUACCUCGAACAAAAGAUCAGAUUUCUUCUCCACCCUUCUUAUUGUCAAUGUUGGCAUAGAAUUCUCGAACCAAAUCUAAAUAUAUGUGGAGAGGAAGAGAAAGAAUAGGCUCCCAUCCCAAUAGUUUAAAAGCUUCCGUAAUGCGAUAUACGACAUCAAUCUCCGAAACUAUGCGUAUCUCGUAGAUAAAUUCCAUGUGCUCGCAUUCCUCAAACCAAUCUUGAUUAUUUUGGACGUGAAUCGCUCGACAUCAUAGUUCAGAAGUGGUGGUCGCCUAGAUAAGUCUGUUCACAAUCUCCUUUGUUGAAGCAUCAGAAAUGGUGUCCUUCCGAUACUUUCCUCACUAGAACAUUCACGAAUAAUAGCUCGGUUUUUUCUUACCAUGCUGUCUAAAAAAAAUCGUUACCCUUCUCAUACACCUAGUGAAAAUAUCACACUCACACACUAUACAAGAAUUAAUUCCUAUAAAACACCUAAAAGAAACAUUUUUCCACUUAUUAUUAAUCGUAAACAUUUUAUAGAAUUAUUAGUCACGUAUAGGAAUUAAAAUUGACUCAAAUAAUCACAAAUUCACAUCUUCAUGUCAGAAAGAAUCAAUUAAAUAUUCAACAAUAUGCAAUAUUAUGACAUGAGAGACAUGACAUUUAAAUUGUCAAAAAUUAUCAAAAUCACCAAUUUAUUAAAAUAGGCAACAAAUAUUUUUUAAUUAAUGAAUUUGGCAAUAACCAAGUUUAUAGCUAAUAUUAAUUAGUAACAAUAAUUCACAUUUAGGCAUAAACAUGAUUAAGUAAAAAUUAUCUCAAAAAUCACAAAAUUUAUCAAAAUUAUUCUCUAUACACAAUGUACAUGCUAGAAUAUCAUCAACCAACCAUUUUUAGUCGUAAACAUCAAUCAAAAUGGCUCAAAUAACAAUCCAAACUACUUUUUCAAUUUUAUCCAAAUAUAGCAAAUUUAAAAUUUUAACAACUAGUAAAGCAUCAAAUUGCUACAUUUGAACAUGUAAACAUGCUUAAUCAACCUUAAUAAGCAUAUUGGAGGUAAAAUAUAUCAAUAAAUAUCAUCAAAAUUUUGAAAUUAGAAGAUGUCAGAAAACUCAAAAAAUUGAAAAAUACAAACUUGUAAAAUACAAAGAUUUGAUGAAGAGACUUACCUCAAUCAAGUAGAAGAAUGUUUGGUGAUGAAGAUUAUGCAAAAAAUCCUAUGAAACACCUUCUAAUUGACUUUCAAUUGAGGAAUUUAAGAACUAUGAACCCUAAUCUUCAAUUUCUUUAAAACCGAAUUUUUUGGUAUUUUUCUUGCAUUUCAAUCGGUUAAAAGACUCUAUAAAGGUCAAAUGAUGUUUGGUUGAUGAUUUCUUACAAUGAAAUAGAGUAAUAUUGAUGAUUUGUGAAGUGUACGUGUUUUGGUGUGAAAAAUGCGAGUUUAAGAAAGGAAGAAGAAGAACAAUAAAUGCUGCGUUUUUUGUUUUUAAAAGGAGAAGAAGAAAAUGCGGGGGGAGGGGGGGUAAAACGCGACCCUGAUCACAUUAGUAGGUGCUUUUUCUAGUUGUAACUUGCAGAACCGAAUACGUAGGUGAAGAAAAUGCGACCCUAGUCGCAUUUUUCUAGCCCACAUUUCAUUUUUGUGUGCAAUUUUUCAUCAAGUUUAUAACGCGAGGCUUGCUGCAUUUUAGAGCGUGUUUUAUAAAAAAUGUUGAAAAACAAGUACUCCCUCCGUCCCAUUGAAAGUGUCAUACUCUCUUUUUUGGUCUGUCCCAAAAUUAAUGUCACUUACCACAAUUGGCAAUAAAAACUUUCCCCCAUUUCCAUCUCAUGCCCUUAAAUGUACCAGAUUCUUUUAAGCUUUUGAUGGGCCCCAAAAAAUUACAAAAAUUGCACUUGAUACGCGUGAGCUCCACAACAAAUGCAAACAAUGGUCGUACAAGGAACUUUCCCAAAAAACGGCUGAGACAUUCUUGAGGCACGGGUCCCACAGGUCUUGUCACUACUCGUUAUCUUUCUGCUAGUCAAUAAGUUAUGCUACUCCAUAGAAACCGAACAGGGGUAUUGUUGGAAGUUACACCAAAAUCAAUUGAAAUCUUGACACUGUUGUAAACAAGCACAAGAUUCGAAGCGCGACAAUUAUUGAUAGGGUAUUAAUUGUUGGUUAUUUUAUUAUUAAUUUUCCUUUUGUCUCUGCCAAAUAUUGUUUUAAUUGUUAAUAUCUACUUAUAUUUGGUUAUAUAUGGUAUCUGGACUUAAUUUCAGGGAAUGGAGCAGAAAACUACAAAAAAAUGAGGGACUUUCUGAAGACAAUUGAGACUUCAAACAGUUGGGCCCCAUAUGGUGCUACAAGGAAGCCUUUUUCGGUUGCUGAUAUGUGGACUUUAGUAUUAGAUAGAUGACUUGUACGAGGGAGUCUUUGACUAGCAAUAGGAAACUAGAAAAGUGGAAAUUCGGCAGAGCUUUCUUUUUGGUACCUUUUCUCUCAAGUCGGUAGAGACCAACUAGGGAGAUAUAAGUAGUCAUUUGUUUAGAAUAGGGAACUUCGUUCUUUUGGGCUUCGGCCAAUUCCUUCGUUUUCUUUAUUUUUCUUCUUUUCGGUCUCUUCUAAGAGAACGACGGGAACAUAGCUUGUUUUUUGGAUAAUAACUUCUGCAAUUUCGCAUGGGAUUUCCUCCAUAUAGAUGAACUAAGUUUCUCAUCUAGUCGAAGGCCAACUUGAAGGCGCGGUUCCAAAUAUCUGUGAGAUCAAAUUAAUUUUAUUUAUUUCUUUUAUUCAUUGAUAUUUGUACGUUUCUUGAUUUAAUUGCUUAUGCUUGUUAUGUUAUUUGAAUGUCAAGGGCCCGAUAUUCGAAUUAACCUAAUAAUCUACUGUCAGAUUAAUUGAUUGAAUCCGUAAUUGUUCAAUUGGUUAAUACUAGUGGUGACUAGCGUGAUUGGUUUCAUGUUAGGGAAACGUAUGAUCUAAUUUAAACAAACUCUUGUAGCGUGUUUGUUGGUUAGGGUUAGGCUUUUCUAAUUCUUAACGCAAUCGAGGAAUUAAAUCCUAUGGUCGUACCUAGGGUUAUUUCUUGGUUAGGGAAAUAGUUAACGGUCGUACCUUGACUAUCAAAAAGGUAAGGAAAGGUUGGUUGUUUACCGCGUGUAUGACAACUAUAACCAAUCUAUUAAUGAGUAAUUGAAUUAUCUUUGCAUCGAUGAUCAGUUGAAUGGAUCGUGUCUGAAAAGUUGCACCUUUGGCUAGAGUCGUAUUGGUUCUUGAUUAAUUAUUGUUUAUUUCUAUUAAUUGUUUCAUUAGUUAGUUAAUUAGUAAUUUUAUAUUUUUCAAAAAUCCCCCAUGCAUUGAACUCUAGAAGAAACGAAUUAUCCCUAGUCCCUGUGGAUUCGACCCUACUCACCGCUAUAUACAAAAUUUGUAUUUUUCUUGAGUAGGUAAUUAUUAUUGCACAGGCUCGACACCCUGUCAAUUAUUUCGAGACGGAGGGAGUAACACUUGAUCCUAAAAUGCAGGGGUGGUCCACGUUUUCGUGGGUGCAUUUUGCAAUUCUGCAAUUUUAGCGCAGAAAUUCUGCAAUUUUAUAAAAAUUACACACUUAACCCCCAUUUUCUAGAAUACAUCCUAGAUCAUUGACCAUUCUAACCAAUAUUGACCAUUUUCUUCCUGUAAUAUUGCCAAAGUGGAAUAAAAUAUCAUCGAAAUAUAGCACAAAAUUGUUACUUAUCAAUAUACAAUUGCAUUACAAAUUAUUUCAAAUAUUUAAUUAUUUAUUACAUAUAAAUUGUUUUCCAUUUUGUUAUGUUUAUUAGUUCCCUUCUUGUUAAUUAAGACCAUAAAUCUUUGGAGCAAGUCUUAGAAAGAGUAAACUUUUUUUUAAGUGAAGAUUAAGAGUUGAGUAAUCAUAUUUAUCUUUAACACUUUAGUGGCUCUAUUAGAAGUUCACCUAGGAAAGCUAUUACAAGUAUUAGACACUUUACUAAGCAUAUUAUUACUCAAAUCUUGCUUAAACCCAUUAUAAUUUGGUGACCUUAAAUUGUGCAACUUUUGAGGAAGUGCUCGUUCUUACCAAUUGAGUCAACAUAUAUUGGCAUAUCAGUCCAUUGACUAAAGAAACCUAAAUCAACUCAUGCUCAGGUUGUGAAGUAAUCAAUUUGAUGUCUUAAUUUAUUAGUGUAUGCAAUUAUUUCGUUUACAAUUAGGUCUUCUUCAUUGAUUAUCUUUAUCCAAUAAAUAUAAUUUCGUUAGUUUUUCAUAAUAUUUCAAAUAUUUAAUUUUUUCUAUUUGUGCUUGUCUUUAUAUUCAUUAACACGUAUUGAUGAAUCCUCUAGUUUCAAUGAAUUCACUUUUAUCUUAUAUGGCAAAACUAAUUGGUAAGCGGCACACCCAACUAGCAAACAAGUGUUAUAGUUAAUUAAUCAAUUGAAUUUUGUUUAUUUCAACUAACUUUUCAAGUCAAUUUUCUUCUAUUUUCUUUACUCUCUUCUAACUACUUCAGGUCAAUCAGUUUUUCAAUUGUAUGAAAUAACUAGGCAUAGUUCAUAAAGUUACUAGGUUAACUCAUUUUUGCAAUAAAAAUACACCAUUUAUCAAGAAAAUAAUGUCUCUUCAGAUAGAACACACUGUAUAAAUUUGUCAAGGUAAUUUACAAUUUUAACUUAAAUAAUUUUGUCCAAUUUGUUGUCCAAUAAUUUUUACUGUAGGGCACUAAAUAUACUCCUGCAUUAAAGGAACUUUUGGUGAAUGGUUUUAUAUCUAUUAUGUGUUGAUUACGCACAACAUGCCAACAAAUGAUUCAUUACUAGAUCUCAAAGAGCUCCUCAUUCUCUCUCUCUCUCUCUGAUAAAAAUAACAAUUUCAUUCACAAAAUCUGUACUAACGGUUAAAGAUAUACUAGGUGUUGGACCCCGCGGGUGUCGCGGGGUGCCCAUAUUAUCUUGUUGGUGAGUGUUAACUGAUGGUUUUUUUUGUAAAGAAGAUGUUUGUAUAAGAGAUGGAUUAUAAACAGGAAAGUAGAAACCAUGCGUUUUUUAUAUAUACAUGAUCAUUGGGAAUUGCAGCUUAAUACAAAAGUUAGUUGUUAUUUGUACAAAACAAAAUUCUAGAAAGCUGCUAUGAUUCGUAAACAAAAAGUACAAUUUUUUGUUUUACAUCCAACUGGAAUGUAAACUGUUUAGUUUAGUUUUUGAUGUAAUAUAGAUUGAGAGUUAGAAUAUUGACUCGUAUAGAUAUUUUUCUUAUCUUCUGAGGAAAAUUUACGUUUCCGACCCAUAUGCAAUUGUAGCUAAAAUUAAGAAAAUUCUGUUAUCCAUGACAUCCAACAAUCACAAUCAUAAAUCAUCUAAAGUUUCUUGGAGGAGACAAAACAAGCGUGAAUGAAAGAGAUGAUUACCAUUUAAUAAGCAAAACGAUAACAAACAUAGAAAAUAAAACACAACGAAAUAGAACAAAUAAGUAAAAGAGAGAUUGCUUUACCUGAACAAUAAGCUUUGAAUAGGAUGGUUGAGCUGAGCUGCAUGGAAUAAACCGAUAAGAUCACAGAAAAGAUAAAUAUAACAUGGAAGCAGCUAACAUAAGAAAAGUCAGAGUCCAUGCAAACUAAAAACUUGCAACAAAGAAAUGGAAAUGAUGGGGAAGAGAAAAUGAUAAAAGCAUAAUCUGAAGCAUACGAAACAAAAAUAAACAAACACGGUGAAAGAGCAAAAAGUUCAGCGAAGGAACAACGUAAUAAACAGCUAUAUUAGGCGCAAAAGUGGAGAAAUACAGUAAAGGAAAACAGGCAGCACCUGAUUGAAGCGAGCGAGAACGAGGAAACUGGAAACAAAAAUCACCAAAAGCUGGCACAAGAUGGAGGCUUAACAGAAAGACGCAGGACAAAAGAGAAACAUCUCUAAAACAUUAUAAUAGUUGCUGGUAUGCACGUAGAGAAAGUCAAAGCAAAGAAACUGACGGUGAAAAAGCUAAUGUAGAUAUAGCACACAGAGUGCUUAACUAUACAAAGAGCCUGUGCUUUGGUAAAAGCAAGCACAUGCAUGCAUUAAAUCCAC